UGCAGGUACCAUCUGUGCAGGUUAUUAGGUGAAAAACGUUGUAGCCUUUUCCUCCCCAACAACGCAUACUCUUAGCUAGGGUUUCAACGCAUCUGACAGCUGAAGCUAGGGCGUCGCCACCGUCAAUGUCAUGGCACUCCCGCUCUGUUCACCAAUCGCAUCGACAGGUAACAGUCCAUCAUCUCCGUAUCACCUCCUUGGAUCCUCCUCCGUUCGGUGACUUCCACAGCAUGCCGCCAGGAGCCCUAUCCUCAAUCAUGUCUUUCCCGCCGAGCUACACACCUUCAUGAGCUCACCCCCUACUCCCACAAACGACGCCGGGUGACAAGGAGGAAAAGUAGUAAUGACGACAUGCAAACUGAAUAAGAUUAUGUAUUUUGAAUACGAUUCUAGAGAUGCACACGCUUUGUUCAUCAAUGCUGCUACGUUUUGAAACUUCAGCAUUUCAUUACUGCUACAAAUAUAUGUACACAAUAAUAUAAUCUCUAAGCUCCUCAUGUUGCUACAUUUGUAAACUUCAAUAUUUCAUUACUGCUACAAAUCUAUUUACAGUUCCAAUUGACUAUGGUAGCUUUCUUGCUUUAUGUUCUUGCCUUACCAGACUGAGCUAAAGUUUUAUUUAUUAAAUCGUGAUGCAAUGUUGCAUCAAUGCUGGACUUCGACAUUUGAAUUUUACGUGCACUCUGGUUUUUAUGUUGUUUACCGUCCAUCUUUCUCCUAAUCAAUAAAAUGCUUUGAUUACUAUUGACAUAAUGUAAACUUCAAUUUAUAUGUUGUUUAUUAUCCAUCUUUGGCCCUAUCCAUGAAAUUAUUUAAUUCCUGUUCAUAUAAUACUUAGAAGAAUGUUAUGUAAGCCUCGAAUUCUCUAAUUUGAGUUGCUAUCCAGUUUAACACAUUAAUUCAACUCGCGCAAAGCGCGAGCAAGUUACUAGUAAUGAAUAGAGGGGCUCAAAGACUAAUAUAAUCAGUGAUACUCUGACGCACCAUUUUUAUAUUUCACUUAAUUUCCCUAGUUUUAAUUAAGUACAGUUUCAUAAGAGCUCGAACAAAGUAUUACAUAAGAAAAUAUUCAGGUUGUCUUGGUUUGCACAAAGAAAAAGUUCAUGAGCUAAACUGCUGCUAAACCCUACAACUUUUUUAGUGCUUCAAUUCGUAAGAGUUCAUACAUUUCUAGUAACCACCAUGGUUACUGCUUACUCGAUGUAAACAACUAUGGCUCUAGUCCACCUUGGGUCUCUCUUGGUCUAGACGUUUGUGGUCGCUCUAGAGUGUUGAUCGAUAGUUUGAUGUUCAUCUCCAAAGGAUGGAUUACGACAAGACUACACAUCUAAAGGUGUUGUUUGGUUGUCUUUGUCGGUGACAAUGUUAAUGGAAUUAGGUUUCGGUGGGAUCUGUUGCAUUGUAAGACAAAGCGACAAUUUGUUUGGUCGUUCAUUUUUUUAAUGCUCAGAGUUGGUAGUGUAAUCAGUUAACGAUCAUACAUUGGCGAUACCAAAUUUUUAUAGCUCGUAUCUGUUUCCUCCGCUACCGGUAAUGUUGUUGGCUCAACCAAACCCCAAUUAAUGUAAUCUAUUACCACUGUAAAUGAAUAAGGCUGUCCACAACAAAUCGUGUAGAACAAGAGAUUUGUGCUGUAGAUAUAUCCUCACAUUCAAGUAAUCGAUAAGGCUCAACCAAUCCCCAAGUAAUGUGUUACACUAUUUACAUAGUGAAGUUGCAAAAAUGAUGAAACAAACAACACCAAAGUGUUAAUCCAUAGUGGACGAAUGGUUAUUUGAAUUCGUUAUCUGUUCAUGAUGUCUACGCUGAAUACAGAGGGAGGGAUUAUGUCCUCAUCUAUGUUCCCUAUUUAAUUAUAUUCUUGAUCUUUUUAAUAAUGGAAAGAAGAUCUGACUUUGUCUUCUUGAAAGAGGAACCAAAACAACUUAUUAUAAUCAAACUUUAUUGGGACAGUCAUAAAAUUUUGACAAAUCUACGAACAUAUGGUUAAUACAUUCCCACAAUAUUUAGGUGAGAUGAGUGAUUGUCAACGAGUUGAUCAGCUUUGUUUUAGUGUUGAUUAAUUUUAACAUGAGUUUUGGUGUAUCUACAGCUUGUGGCACGCAUAUGUGGAGCACAGAGAUGGAGCUCAACGGCGAAGAUAAGGUCAAUAGGAUUUGUGUCGAUGCACUAGAAGUGAUGUAGAAAUGGUCGUCAAGACUUAGAGUCGAGAACUAGAGAAGCCGAAAGACUAGCUAUGGUGGCUGAUGUCUGGGGAAAUCGAGAUAAGUACACGACGCAAACGCGUGCACCCGUGCGUCCACGUCGGCAAAAAAAAACAUGUGCGCAGGAUGUUCCAUCAACGGACGAGAUUUCUUCUCAGCCUCCCCGGGCCGCUGUAGACGCCUGGAGAAUUCUAGCAAUGUGCAGUUCAUAAAAAAAUCAACUCUUUUCUAGAAGGGCGUAUAAAUAGGCAUCGCGUGCCUAGCGUCGGCUACCGUGACUGCAGCGUCGGCGGCUGGGACCAGCGGCGGCUGUGCGUCCCCACUCUAGAAGCUUCGUUCGUCUUCACCAUCUGUGCAGGUACCAUCUGUGCAGGUUAUUAGGUGAAAAACAUUGUAGCCUUUUCCUCCCCAACAACACAUACUCUUAGCUAGGGUUUCAACGCAUCUGACAGCUGAAGCUAGGGCGUCGCCACCAUCAAUGUCAUGGCACUCCCGCUCUGUUCACCAAUCGCAUCGACAGGUAACAGUCCAUCAUCUCCGUAUCACCUCCUUGGAUCCUCCUCCGUUCGGUGACUUCCACAGCAUGCCGCCAGGAGCCCUAUCCUCAAUCAUGUCUUUCCCGCCGAGCUACACACCUUCAUGAG
Molecule: long non-coding RNA, 2848 nt
Filed under: Zea mays
Lineage: Eukaryota; Viridiplantae; Streptophyta; Magnoliopsida; Poales; Poaceae
Description: long non-coding RNA (ZMAY_LNC000278)
Source: RNAcentral